RNAcentral lists this ribosomal RNA (492 nucleotides) under uncultured bacterium. RNAcentral's name for it is "partial 16S ribosomal RNA". It matches the Rfam family "Bacterial small subunit ribosomal RNA", at positions 29 to 507 of the family's 1533-position model. The record is from RNAcentral.
AGUGAACGCUGGCGGUAGGCCUAACACAUGCAAGUCGAACGGCAGCACAGUAAGAGCUUGCUCUUACGGGUGGCGAGUGGCGGACGGGUGAGGAAUACAUCGGAAUCUACUUUUUCGUGGGGGAUAACGUAGGGAAACUUACGCUAAUACCGCAUACGACCUACGGGUGAAAGCAGGGGAUCUUCGGACCUUGCGCGAUUGAAUGAGCCGAUGUCGGAUUAGCUAGUUGGCGGGGUAAAGGCCCACCAAGGCGACGAUCCGUAGCUGGUCUGAGAGGAUGAUCAGCCACACUGGAACUGAGACACGGUCCAGACUCCUACGGGAGGCAGCAGUGGGGAAUAUUGGACAAUGGGCGCAAGCAUGAUCCAGCCAUACCGCGUGGGUGAAGAAGGCCUACGGGUUGUAAAGCCCUUUUGUUGGGAAAGAAAAGCAGCAGGUUAAUACCCCGCUGUUCUGACGGUACCCAAAGAAUAAGCACCGGCUAACUUCGUG